This 102-nucleotide microRNA precursor is filed under the name Marmota monax (woodchuck). It matches the Rfam family "mir-562 microRNA precursor family". Lineage: Eukaryota; Metazoa; Chordata; Mammalia; Rodentia; Sciuridae. The record is from RNAcentral.
GGUGUAAUUGCUGGACCAUAUGGUUAGACUAUGUUUGGCUUUUUAAGAAACUGGCAAACUGUUUUCUAAAGUGGAUGUACCAUUUGCAUUUCUACUAGGAAU